Molecule: long non-coding RNA, 403 nt
Organism: Trifolium pratense (red clover)
Lineage: Eukaryota; Viridiplantae; Streptophyta; Magnoliopsida; Fabales; Fabaceae
Exons: 2
Source: RefSeq, a predicted model, not a curated record
AGUAAAUUUCUUUAUAGGACGAUGGGUCGUUGUCUUCAUGGGUGUCACACACAUAAGAAAAUGAAUCCAAUAUGUAAAGAUCGAGAUAUUCUGGUGAAUGAAAAUGGGAGAGCGACAUGUGAAGUGAGUCAACAAGUUAACACGGGACAAACUGAACGUCAUUAUCGAAACUACUGUUCAAACGUGAGCAGCUCUCAACAACUUGUAAGUUGUAACCACAUAUCUAUUUUUCAAAUCCAGUCCAAACAAUCACAAUAAUUGAGGAUUCACAACAAGGUGAGAAAUGAGUCACAUGUGUCGUGCUAAAUUUCAGGAAUGUAAAAAUAUUUGCUCUUGUAAUAAUAAUAAUAAUAAUAAUUAGAUUAAUAAUAAUAAUAAUAUGGGUGAGACUUUUUGCCUUUUA